GGCUCAGGAUGAACGCUGGCGGCGUGCUUAACACAUGCAAGUCGAACGAAGCACUUUACUACGAUUUCUUCGGAAUGACGGUUUUGUGACUGAGUGGCGGACGGGUGAGUAACGCGUGGAUAACCUGCCUCAUACAGGGGGGAUAACAGUUGGAAACGGCUGCUAAUACCGCAUAAGCGCACAGGGUCGCAUGACCUGGUGUGAAAAACUCCGAUGGUAUGAGAUGGACCCGCGUUGGAUUAGCUGGUUGGUGAGGUAACGGCCCACCAAGGCGACGAUCCAUAGCCGACCUGAGAGGGUGACCGGCCACAUUGGGACUGAGACACGGCCCAAACUCCUACGGGAGGCAGCAGUGGGGAAUAUUGCACAAUGGGCGAAAGCCUGAUGCAGCGACGCCGCGUGAGCGAAGAAGUAUUUCGGUAUGUAAAGCUCUAUCAGCAGGGAAGAUAAUGACGGUACCUGACUAAGAAGCACCGGCUAAAUACGUG
This 488-nucleotide ribosomal RNA is filed under the name uncultured bacterium. RNAcentral describes it as "bacterial SSU rRNA". It matches the Rfam family "Bacterial small subunit ribosomal RNA", at positions 21 to 507 of the family's 1533-position model. The record is from RNAcentral.